AUAGCUGCAUCGAGUGGCUCGAUAGACAAGCCCCUAACUCUGUUCUCUAUGUCAGCUUGGGUAGCCUAGUGAGGAUUGAUCACAAAGAGUUGAUUGAGACUGCUUGGGGAUUAGCUAAUAGCGAUCAACCGUUCUUGUGGGUUAUUCGACCUGGCUCUGUCUCUGGCUUUCAAUGUGCUGAGGCACUGCCUGAUGGUUUUGAGAAAAUGGUAGGAGAAAGAGGACGAAUAGUGAAAUGGGCACCACAAAAACAGGUGCUUGCACAUCCCGCGGUAGCAGGGUUUUUCACUCAUUGUGGUUGGAAUUCUACGCUUGAAAGUAUAUGUGAAGAAGUCCCUAUGGUGUGCAGGCCAUUUCUAGCAGACCAACUGGUGAACGCAAGGUAUCUGAGCCAAAUAUACAAGGUUGGGUUCGAAUUGGAGGUUAUCGAGAGAACGGUCAUAGAGAAAACAAUAAGAAAACUCAUGUUAAGUGAAGAAGGCAAAGAUGUGAAGAAAAGAGUAGCAGACAUGAAACAAAAGAUAGUUGCUGGAAUGCAGAUUGAUUGCACUUCACAUAAGAAUCUGAAUGAUUUGGUAGACUUCAUUUCUGCCUUGCCAUCACGACUCGCUCCGCCAACGCCUGUCUUUGGGGCAAUCAUGAGCUCAAACCACAUAGCAAGCAAGUGUAUCAUAGAGUCUUGAAGUUAUUUUUGAGCUCAAACCAUAUUUCUGUGGCCCCUUAGCUUGGCAAGACAAUAAGUCCUUAAUCACAAAAGGAAGAAUAAGAUAAGAAGUGAACUUUUCAUAAAUCCAUGGUGCAAAUGCUGAAGCAAUUUACUUUAGUUUGUUGAUUGGUUUAUAAGUUGGGAACCUUGACAUAUUGUUUUCUAGUUGGUAGGAAAAUAUUUUCGUGGAAAAUAAAUGAUUUUCAAACUUAUUUUUUAGUUUUUGAUUAGUAAAGAAUAUUAUUGUCCCAAGAGUAUCUAUGUACACCUAGAUCUGGAACCACCCUAUAACAUAAACACGGACUUGACUCGACCUGACCUUACCCCAACACUGACCUAAGACAAAACCCUGACCUCAACACCGACUCAAAACUUGAUCCUCGACCAGACUAUGACCUAACCUUAACCUAGGAUCUGACAACUGACCCCAUGUCACGAACUGCAAUCCGAAGUUAACUCUGGACCUAACCUCAACCUAGAUCCAUGACCCCGUCCAGAGACCUCAACCACAAACUCCUGACCCCAAUCCCGGGUCCCAACUUGACCCAAGAGUAUAGGAAAAAUGCACAAGUACCCCCUCAACCUAUGCCCGAAAUCACAAAGCCACACUUAUACUAUACUAAGGUCCUAUUACUCCCUGAACUUAUUAAGUAAUUUUUUACCCCUUUUUGGCCUACGUGGCACUAGUUUGAAAAAAAUGUCAACCAGCGUUGGGCCCACAAGAUAGUCUCAUGUAGGCCGAAAAGGAGUAGAAAAUUGUUAACAAAAUAAGUUCUGCGGGGUAAUAGGACCUUAGUUUAGUUUAAGUAUGUCUCUGAGAUUUCGGGCAUAGGUUGGGGGUACUUGUGCAUUAUCCCAAUAUUGAUUUUGUUUUCAACUCAUUUGAUACUAGAUAUUUAUAUGGACAUUCGAUUAUGAGUGACUUCAUAAGUGAGUAACUGUUAAAAUAAAAAUCAAAAUUGUGUGACAUUGUAAGUAAAAUACUCAUAGUUGAGUAACCUUUGGAAUGAAAUUCAAAGUUGAGUAGCUUUCUGAGAUAAAAUGAAGUUUUUACCUUAAUAAUACAAAGGUAAAACAAAUUAAAUUAAGUAGUACAAAAAUUGUAAAUAAAGUUUUUACCUUAAUAAUACAAAGGUAAACCAAGUCAAACUAACCAAUACAAAAUUUGUAAAUGAAGUUUUGACCUUAAUAAUACAAAGGUAAAGCAAGUCAAACUAACCAAUACAAAAUUUGUAAAUGAAGUUUUGACCUUAAUAAUACAAAGGUAAAGCAAGUCAAACUAACCAAUACAAAAUUUGUAAAUGACGUUUUGAUCUUUAAUAAUACAAAGGUAAACCAAGUCAAACUAACCAAUACAAAAUUUGUAAAUAAAGUUUUUACCUUAAUAAUACAAAGGUAAACCAAGUCAAACUAACCAAUACAAAAUUUGCAAAUGAAGCUUUGACCAUUAAUAAUACAAAGGUAAACCAAGUCAAACUAACCAAUACAAAAUUUGUAAAUGAAGUUUUGACCUUAAUAAUACAAAGGUAAAGCAAGUCAAACUAACCAAUACAAAAUUUGUAAAUGACGUUUUGAUCUUUAAUAAUACAAAGGUAAACCAAGUCAAACUAACCAAUACAAAAUUUGUAAAUAAAGUUUUUACCUUAAUAAUACAAAGGUAAACCAAGUCAAACUAACCAAUACAAAAUUUGCAAAUGAAGUUUUGACCAUUAAUAAUACAAAGGUAAACCAAGUCAAACUAACCAAUACAAAAUUUGUAAAUGAAGUUUUGACCUUAAUAAUACAAAGGUAAAGCAAGUCAAACUAACCAAUACAAAAUUUGUAAAUGACGUUUUGAUCUUUAAUAAUACAAAGGUAAACCAAGUCAAACUAACCAAUACAAAAUUUGUAAAUAAAGUUUUUACCUUAAUAAUACAAAGGUAAACCAAGUCAAACUAACCAAUACAAAAUUUGCAAAUGAAGUUUUGACCAUUAAUAAUACAAAGGUAAACCAAGUCAAACUAACCAAUACAAAAUUUGUAAAUGAAGUUUUUACCUUAAUAAUACAAAGGUAAACCAAGUCAAACUAACCAAUACAAAAUUUGUAAAUGAAGAUUUGAACUUAAUAAUACAAAGGUAAAACAAAUUAAAUUAACUAGUACAAAAUUAACAAUACUUAUAUAUAUAAACUUCCUUCAAAAACACAAUUACUGAACUCUUGAAUAGAAGAGAAACUCAAUAAAACAAAGAUGAAAACUCAAAGAAAACAGAGUGUAGUACUAGUACCACUUCCAUGCCAGGGGCAUUUAACACCAAUGCUGCAGCUUGGAAGUAUCCUUCAUUCUCAAGGCUUUUCUGUUAUAAUAGCUCAUCCUGAAUUCAAUACUCCUAAAUAUUCCAAUCAUCCUGAAUUCGUCUUCCAUUCUAUGGAUGACGUAUUAAAGGGAAUCAACAUAUCAUCACCGAGUCUAGAGAACAUAUAUCAUUUGAAUGAGAACUGCAAGGUGCCUCUCAGAAACUACCUUGUUAAGAAGAUGAAAGAGGAAGGUGAUCAGCUUGCUUGUAUCGUUUAUGAUAAUGUCAUGAUUUUCGUUGAUGAUGUAGCCACUCAGUUAAGGCUUCCCAGCAUUGUCCUGCACACUUCCAGUGCUGCAUAUCUGCACUCCAUGAUCACCAUUUUUCAGCAACCAGAAAAAUAUUUUCCUUUCGAAGGUAUGAGAACAAACACAUCCUCUGAUUCAAGAAUUUAAUGAAAAAUCAUUUCGAUAACAAUAACUAUGCUUCAGUCACAAAGUUCCCUCGUUACAUUCAUCACAAGCCAACAUUAUAGAAAAUAAAAAUAAAAAUAAAAAUGAAAGGCACCCUUUACUUGUCGUCCUUACAAAAAAUAGAUAGUCCAAGAUAAUUGUCACUUCAGAAAACCAAGAUAUAAUUAACUAAUAGUUUUCGCUUUUAUCUUUACUCAAUAAAUGUGGAAAGAAAUUAAUGUGGUGGAAAAGAUAGUAGUAUUAAAUUGAGAUCAAAUUACACUUUUAGUUAUUGUUUUCUUAUGGGACGUGCAAAAAAAAUGACAAGUAAAAUGGAACAAAGUGAGUGCAGCAAGUAUAAUUCAGCCUAUAAUAUUUUUCUUCCAUUAUGUUGUAUCAGUUCGCUUAAGUUUGUAUUAAUUACUCACUACGAUUCCAGAUUCUCAGUUGUUGGAUCCGUUACCAGAGCUUCAUCCCUUGAGGUUUAAGGAUGUACCAAUUCCUGCUGUUAAUAAUACAGUUGCAGAACCGGUACUAGACUUCUUUAAAGCAAUCAACAAUAUAGGGUCAUCUGUUGCGACUAUUUGGAAUACGAUGCAAGACAUGGAGUAUCCAAUAUUGUUACGCCUUCAAGAACAUAACAAGGUGCCCUUCUAUGCAAUAGGCCCUUUUCACAAAAUGGCGCCUAUGGCCUCAUCGACUAGCAUACUAGAAGAAGAUAAUAGCUGCAUCAUGUGGCUCGACAGACAAGUUCCUAACUCUGUUCUUUAUGUCAGCAUAGGUAGCCAAAUGAGGAUUAAUGACAAAGAGCUAACUGAGACUGCUUGGGGAUUAGCUAAUAGUGAUCAACCAUUCUUGUGGGUUAUUCGACCGGGCUCUGUCUCUGGCUUUCAAUGUGCUGAGGCACUGCCUGAUGGUUUUGAGAAAAUGGUAGGAGAAAGAGGACGAAUAGUGAAAUGGGUGCCACAAAAACAGGUGCUUGCACAUCCCGCGGUAGCAGGGUUUUUCACUCAUUGUGGUUGGAGUUCUACGCUUGAAAGUAUAUGUGAAGAAGUCCCUAUGAUAUGCAGGCCAUUUCUAGCAGACCAACUGGUGAACGCUAGGUAUCUGAGCCAAAUAUACAAGGUUGGAUUCGAAUUGGAGGCUAUCGAGAGAACGGUCAUAGAGAAAACAAUAAGAAAACUCAUGUUAAGUGAAGAAGGCAAAGAUGUGAAGAAAAGAGUAGUAGACAUGAAACAAAAGAUAGUUGCUGGAAUGCAGAUUGAUGGCACUUCACAAAAGAAUCUGAAUGAUUUGGUAGACUUCAUUUCUGCCUUGCCAUCACGGCUCCCUCCGCCAACACCUGUUGUUGGGGCAUUCGAUACAUCAAGCAAGUAUAUCAGAGAGUCCUGAAGUUAGAAGAAAUACAUAUUUUUGUUGCCUGCUAUCUUAGCAAGACAAUAAGUCCUUAAUCACAAAAGGAAGAAUAAGAUAAGAAGUGAACUUUUCAUAAAUCCAUGGUGCAAAUGCUGAAGCAAUUUACUUUAGUUUGUUGAUUGGUUUAUAAGUUGGGAACCUUGACAUAUUGUUUCAUAGUUGGUAGGAAAAUAUUUUCGUGGAAAAUAAAUGAUUUUUCAUACUUAUUUUCUAGUUUUUGAUUAGUAAAGAAUAUUAUUGUCCCAAGAGUAUCUCUGUACACCUAGAUCUGGAACCACCCUAUAACAUAGACACGGACUUGACUCGACCCGACCUCACCCCAACACUGAUGUAAGACAAAACCCUGACCUCAAUACCGACUCAAAACUUGAUCCUCGACCAGACUCUGACCUAACCUUAACCUAGGAUCUGACAACUGACCCAUGCCACGAACUGCAAUCCGAAGUUAACUCUGGACCUAACCUCAACCUAGAUCCAUGACCCCGUCCAGAGACCUCAACCCUAACUCCUGACCCCAAUCCUGGGUCCCAACUUGACCCAAGAGUAUUGAUUGAUUUUGUUUUCAACUCAUCUGAUAUUCGAUAUUUAUAUGGACAUUCGAUUAUGAGUGACUUCAUAAGUGAGUAACUGUUGGAAUAAAAAUCAAAAUUAGGUGAUUUUAUAAGUAAAACACUCAUAGUUGAGUGACCUUUGGAAUAAAAUUCAACGUUGAGUAGCUUUGUGAGAUAAAAUGAAGUUCUGACAUUAAUAAUACUAAGGUAAAACAAAUUGUAUCAACUAGUACAAAAAAUUUGUAAAGGGAGUUUUGACCUUAAUACAAAGGUAAAACAAAUGAAAUUAAGUACUACAAAAAUUGUAAAUGAAGUUUUGACCUUAAUAAUACAAAGGUAAAGCAAAUCAAACUGACCAGUACAAAAUUUGUAAAUGAAGUUUUGACCUUAAUAAUACCAAAGUUAAAACAAAUUCAAUUAACUAGUACAAAAUUAACAAUACUUGUGUAUAUAAACUUCCUUCAAGAACACAAUUACUGAACUCUUGAAUAGAAGAGAAACUCAAGAAAAAAAAGAUGAAAAUUCAAAGAAAACAGAGUGUAGUACUAGUACCACUUCCAUUCCAGGGGCAUUUAACACCAAUGCUGCAGCUUGGAAGUAUCCUUUAUUCUCAAGGCUUUUCUGUUAUAAUAGCACAUCCUGAAUUGAAUACUCCUAAAUAUUCCAAUCAUCCUGAAUUCGUCUUCCAUUCUAUGGAUGAUGGAUUAAAGGGAAUCAACAUAUCAUUACCGAGUCUAGAGAACAUAUAUGAUUUGAAUGAGAACUGCAAGGUGCCUCUCAGAAACUACCUUGUUAAGAAGAUGAAAGAGGAAGGUGAUCAGCUUGCUUGUAUCGUUUAUGAUAAUGUCAUGAUUUUCGUUGAUGAUGUAGCCACUCAGUUAAGGCUUCCCAGCAUUGUCCUGCACACUUCCAGUGCUGCAUAUCUGCACUCCAUGAUCACCAUUUUUCAGCAACCAGAAAAAUAUUUUCCUUUCGAAGGUAUGAGAACAAACACAUCCUCUGCUUCAAGAUUUUAAUGAAAAAUCAUUUCGAUAACAAUAACUAUGCUUCAGUCACAAAGUUCCCUCAUUACAUUCAUCACAAACCAACAUUAUAGAAAAUAAAAAUAUAAAUAUAAAUGAAAGGCACCCUUUCCAGUCGAUGUUACUUGUCGUCCUUACAAAAAAUAGAUGGUCCAAGAUAAUUAUCACUUCAGAAAACCAAGAUAUAAUUAACUAAUAGUUUUCACUUUUAUCUUUUACUCAAUAAAUGUGAAAAGAAAUUAACGUGGUGGAAAAGAUAGUAGUAUUAAAUUGAGAUCAAAUAAUUAGGAUAAUUUGGUCAAAUUACACUUUUAGUUAUUGUUUUCUUAUGGGGCGUGCAAAAAAAAAAGACAAGUAAAAUGGAACAGAGUGAGUGCAGCUAGUAUAAUUCAGCCCAUAAUCUUUUUCUUCCAUUAUGUUGUAUCAGUUCGCUUAAGUUUGUAUUAAUUACUCACUACAAUUCCAGAUUCUCAGUUGUUGGAUCCGUUACCAGAGCUUUAUCCCUUGAGGUUUAAGGAUGUACCAAUUCCUGCUGUAUAUAAUACAGUUGCAGAACCGGUACUAGACUUCUUUAAAGCAAUCAACAAUAUAGGGUCAUCUGUUGCGACUAUUUGGAACACGAUGCAAGACAUGGAGAAUCCAAUAUUGUUACGCCUUCAAGAACAUUACAAGGUGCCCUUCUAUGCAAUAGGCCCUUUUCACAAAAUGGCGCCUACGGCCUCAUCGACUAGCAUACUACAAGAAGAUGAUAGCUGCAUCAAGUGGCUCGACAGACAAGUUCCUAACUCUGUUCUUUAUGUCAGCAUAGGUAGCCAAAUGAGGAUUAAUGACAAAGAGCUAACUGAGACUGCUUGGGGAUUAGCUAAUAGUGAUCAACCAUUCUUGUGGGUUAUUCGACCGGGCUCUGUCUCUGGCUUUCAAUGUGCUGAGGCACUGCCUGAUGGUUUUGAGAAAAUGGUAGGAGAAAGAGGACGAAUAGUGAAAUGGGCGCCACAAAAACAGAUACUUGCACAUCCCGCGGUAGCAGGGUUUUUCACUCAUUGUGGUUGGAAUUCUACGCUUGAAAGUAUAUGUGAAGAAGUCCCUAUGAUAUGCAGGCCAUUUCUAGCCGACCAGCCGGUGACAGCUAGGUAUCUGAGCCACAUGUACAAGGUUGGGUUCGAAUUGGAGGUUAUCGAGAGAACGGUCAUAGAGAAAACAGUAAGAAAGCUCAUGUUAAGUGACGAAGGCAAAG
This 7655-nucleotide long non-coding RNA is filed under the name Solanum lycopersicum (tomato). Its description in RNAcentral is "long non-coding RNA (SLYC_LNC000844)". The record is from RNAcentral. Lineage: Eukaryota; Viridiplantae; Streptophyta; Magnoliopsida; Solanales; Solanaceae.